UACAGAGGGGGCAAGCGUUGUUCGGAAUUACUGGGCGUAAAGGGCGCGUAGGCGGCCUACUAAGUCAGACGUGAAAUCCCCCGGCUUAACCUGGGAACUGCGUCUGAUACUGGAAGGCUUGAGGAUGGGAGAGGGAUGUAGAAUUCCAGGUGUAGCGGUGAAAUGCGUAGAUAUCAGGAAGAACACCCGUGGCUAAGGCGGCUCUCUAGUACGGUACUGACGCUGAGACGCGAAAGCGUGGGGAGCGAACAGG
RNAcentral lists this ribosomal RNA (253 nucleotides) under uncultured bacterium. RNAcentral describes it as "partial 16S ribosomal RNA". It matches the Rfam family "Bacterial small subunit ribosomal RNA", at positions 524 to 776 of the family's 1533-position model. The record is from RNAcentral.